This 438-nucleotide ribosomal RNA is filed under the name uncultured bacterium. RNAcentral describes it as "partial 16S ribosomal RNA". It matches the Rfam family "Bacterial small subunit ribosomal RNA", at positions 339 to 795 of the family's 1533-position model. The record is from RNAcentral.
CUACGGGACGCACCAGGGAAUCUUCCGCAAUGGACGAAAGUCUGACGGAGCAAUACCGCGUGUAGGAUGACACCCCUAGGGGCGUAAACUACUUUUCUGAAGGAAUAAGUUCUGAAGGUACUUCAGGAAUAAGCACCGGCUAACUACGUGCCAGCAGCCGCGGUAAUACGUAGGGUGCAAGCGUUAUCCGGAAUUACUGGGCGUAAAGCGUCUGUAGACGGCUUGAAAAGUUGGAUGUAAAAAUUGAGGGCUCAACCCUCAAAGCGUAUCCAAAACUAUCAGGCUAGAGGAAUGGAGAGGUAAGUGGAACUCUGCAAGUAGGGGUUAAAUCCGUAGAUCUGCAGAAGAACACCAAAAGCGAAGGCAGCUUACUGGCCAUUUCCUGACGUUGAGAGACGAAAGCGUGGGGAGCAAACAGGAUUAGAUACCCCAGUAGUC